This 497-nucleotide ribosomal RNA is filed under the name uncultured bacterium. RNAcentral's name for it is "partial 16S ribosomal RNA". It matches the Rfam family "Bacterial small subunit ribosomal RNA", at positions 28 to 507 of the family's 1533-position model. The record is from RNAcentral.
GAUGAACGCUGGCGGCGUGCCUAAUACAUGCAAGUCAAGCGAACAGACGAGGAGCUUGCUCCUUUGACGUUAGCGGCGGACGGGUGAGUAACACGUGGGUAACCUACCUAUAAGACUGGGAUAACUUCGGGAAACCGGAGCUAAUACCGGAUAAUAUUUCGAACCGCAUGGUUCGAUAGUGAAAGAUGGCUCUGCUAUCACUUAUAGAUGGACCUGCGCCGUAUUAGCUAGUUGGUAAGGUAACGGCUUACCAAGGCAACGAUACGUAGCCGACCUGAGAGGGUGAUCGGCCACACUGGAACUGAGACACGGUCCAGACUCCUACGGGAGGCAGCAGUAGGGAAUCUUCCGCAAUGGGCGAAAGCCUGACGGAGCAACGCCGCGUGAGUGAUGAAGGUCUUCGGAUCGUAAAACUCUGUUAUUAGGGAAGAACAAACGUGUAAGUAACUGUGCACGUCUUGACGGUACCUAAUCAGAAAGCCACGGCUAACUACGUG